CCCUUAGAUGUUCUGGGCCGCACGCGCGCUACACUGACGAAGUCAGCGAGCAUGUCCUACGCCGACAGGUGCGGGGAAUCUUGUCAAACUUCGUCGUGAUGGGGAUUGAUUAUUGAAAUUCUUGAUCAUCAACGAGGAAUUCCUAGUAAGCGCAAGUCAGCAGCUUGCGUUGAUUACGUCCCUGCCCUUUGUACACACCGCCCGUCGCACCUACCGAUUGAAUGGUCCGGUGAAAUCUCGGGACGGCGGCUUGGUCGCUUGCGUCCGACUGCUGAAACUUGAUUAAACCAUAUCAUUUAGAGGAAGGUGAAGUCGUAACA
RNAcentral lists this ribosomal RNA (320 nucleotides) under uncultured eukaryote. RNAcentral describes it as "partial 18S ribosomal RNA". It matches the Rfam family "Eukaryotic small subunit ribosomal RNA", at positions 1470 to 1796 of the family's 1831-position model. The record is from RNAcentral.